Molecule: long non-coding RNA, 681 nt
Filed under: Gossypium raimondii (Peruvian cotton)
Lineage: Eukaryota; Viridiplantae; Streptophyta; Magnoliopsida; Malvales; Malvaceae
Description: long non-coding RNA (GRAI_LNC002691)
Source: RNAcentral
AACAAUAAAAAUGACUUUCUUCUUUCCAAAAGCGGUAAAAAAGAAAAAAAUUUCAAAGAAAUCGGUUCACCGUUAGCCCACCGCACACACCAAUUUUUCCCUUCUGAGUUUAGGGCUUAACUCGAUCGGUCUGACUUCGAUUCCCCUCGACGACUCAUCGUCUAAUCUCAAUCACUCGGUAAAAGAAAUCAACCACCACGAAAAUAAUCUCGAACAACAGCUGAAUAACCUCAAUUUAAAGAAGAGAAAGGAGAAAAGAAAAAAGAAGAGAAAGAAGAGAGAAGGAGAAAAGAAAAAAGGAAAGCGCCGGCACCACCGCAACGUCGGGAAAGGGAAAUGACAGCGCAAGUUAGGGUUACGCUUGGAGUCGAGAGAAGGAGAAGAAAAAAAAGAAAAAGAAGGAAAAAAAGAAAGAAAAAGAAAAAUAUAAAAUAAAAACAGUCGGGUCCGACCCGACUCGCACCACCGACUCGACCCAACCCGGUACCAGCUGGCCCAGCAAACAGCAGCAGCCCAACAGCAACAGCCCAACAACAAUAGCCCAACAACAGACCCACUCCAGCUGUAGCCCAAUCCAGUCAGCCCAACAGCAGUAGCCCUACCCAACAACCCAGCAGCAGGCCAGCAACCCAGCACAACAGUAGGCCAGUCUCAGCGGCCCAAUCUGCACAGCCCCCCCCC